Long non-coding RNA from Leucoraja erinaceus (little skate), 471 nucleotides. RefSeq lists it as uncharacterized. The record is from RefSeq and is a predicted model, not a curated record. The transcript has 3 exons. NCBI's taxonomy places the organism in Eukaryota, Metazoa, Chordata, Chondrichthyes, Rajiformes, Rajidae.
UGGCGCAGGCAGCGGGCCGGUGCCGCUUCCCGGCCAGGCCGUGCGAGAGGAGGCGCUGGGCGGUGAGGAAGAGGAGGAGGCGGCCGGGCAGCCCCGGGCAGGCGGCGACGGGGACGGGGACGGAGGGCGAGGCCUGGGCUCCCGGGCGCCUGGAGCUGGGACUCGGCCGCUUCCAGCAACUGUUCGGCGGCGGGAGCAGCGAGGAGAGUGACGAGUUUCCCGGAUUCACGUCAGAUGAUGAGACAGUGACGAGCUCCCUGCGCCUGGCCCUGCGCUCACAGAAACACAGAACAUUAAAUACAGACACCGUGAACAAGACCAAGACCAAGACCAAGACCACUUGUCCGUCUCCGGGGGCGGUUGCCGAGACGACGCCCCACCCCCCGCCGGGCGCCCCACCCCCCCGCCCGCUUCAGGACGGCCCCUCCCCCGCCCGGCCCCUCCCCCGGGCCCCACAAACCCCGGGGCCGA